AUUGAACGCUGGCGGCAGGCCUAACACAUGCAAGUCGAGCGAGCGGCGGACGGGUGAGUAAUGUCUGGGGAUCUGCCUGAUAGAGGGGGAUAACUACUGGAAACGGUGGCUAAUACCGCAUACUAUCAGAUGUGCCCAGAUGGGAUUAGCUAGUAGGUGGGGUAAAGGCUCACCUAGGCGACGAUCCCUAGCUGGUCUGAUAGGAUGAUCAGCCACACUGGAACUGAGACACGGUCCAGAGUCCUACGGGAGGCAGCAGGGGGGAAUAUUGCACAAUGGGCGCAAGCCUGAUGCAGCCAUGCCGCGUGUGUGAAGAAGGCCUUCGGGUUGUAAAGCACUUUCAGCGGGGAGGCGUUACUCGCAGAAGAAGCACCGGCUAACUCCGUGCCAGCAGCCGCGGUAAUAC
This 406-nucleotide ribosomal RNA is filed under the name uncultured bacterium. Its description in RNAcentral is "partial 16S ribosomal RNA". It matches the Rfam family "Bacterial small subunit ribosomal RNA", at positions 30 to 526 of the family's 1533-position model. The record is from RNAcentral.